Long non-coding RNA from Juglans microcarpa x Juglans regia, 614 nucleotides. RefSeq lists it as uncharacterized. The transcript has 5 exons. The record is from RefSeq and is a predicted model, not a curated record. Lineage: Eukaryota; Viridiplantae; Streptophyta; Magnoliopsida; Fagales; Juglandaceae.
UUCAACAAAAGUACUCAGUCCACUUGUUGUGCUAGGAAAAGGCAGACCCCCAUCUCUGAGGAGAGUAUCCAGGAUGGAGAGAGAACUGCGAAAAGUUAAGGAGAAGACGAAGAAAGCGCAGGGGAAGGGAAAACACAAACAGCGAGAUGGGGAAGAGAAUCCAGUAGCGGACACUUGCAGGAAGCUAUUUGGCCCUUUCGAUUUGGACGUCUCCAAUGUUGGACACCUGCAGGAGGCUAAUGCAGAAAGCAUACCAGCUGUUGAGUUUAGUCAAACCUAGCCUCGAGAAACAGUACUUCAAAGUCAAGAAAGCAUGUAAUUUCAGUUUGAUGAAUCACAACCACAACAAUGAUAUGAUUAUUGUGGAAGUCUAGGCCUGCAGAAUGGAAGCAGUUUUGAGUACUUGAUGAGCUGGAUUUAUUUAGUGUAUAGCGGAAACCAUGCAUAUGUAUAAGUUGGUUGCUAUUCUAGAGUUGGAUUGAUUUUAGUUCAAUGUUUUGGUGGGUUCAUGAGUUGUGCUGUAUGCACGGGGCAUUUAAUGUGAUUGUGUAAUCUGCUCAAUUUAUUGUGUAUUUUGCUUCUGGGCAUUGAGGAUGUAACAGGAGCUAUUUUUG